Molecule: long non-coding RNA, 474 nt
Filed under: Gossypium barbadense (sea-island cotton)
Lineage: Eukaryota; Viridiplantae; Streptophyta; Magnoliopsida; Malvales; Malvaceae
Description: long non-coding RNA (GBAR_LNC020266)
Source: RNAcentral
UGGCUUCUGUUUGGGGUCUGCGCUUGUCUUGCGCCGAUGCCGAUGGAUGAAUUUGAUGACGUUAACCUCGAUGCUGAUAAUAAAACCGAUGCUUCUUUAAAUUCAGAUGAAAAGAGUAGUAAUCAUUUGUCUUCAGUUGCUGCCGCUGAUAAUUACAAGGUUACAGGUUAGUUGUAAUUCAUUAACUAAUUUUAAUUACUGCAAAUUAGUUUUUACUAUAAAAAAUGAAUGAAUUUGAAUGUAUAUUUGAUAUACAUGGAUUUUAGCGGAGGGCGAUACUCAGUUUUCAAUAUUAAAAAUUGAAUUUGAAUUUAUAUUUGAUAUGCUGCAGGGAUUUUAGCGGAUGGACGAUGCCUGUUCAGAGCAAUAGCUCAUGGAGCUUGUCUGAGGUCUGGAGAAGAAGCUCCUGAUGAAAACCGUCAAAGAGAACUUGCUGAUGAAUUGAGAGCUCAGGUAAUCACGAGGAGGUUUUUU